GUCUAUGGCCAUACCACUCUGAAUGCGCCCGAUCUCGUCUGAUCUUGGAAGCUAAGCAGGAUCGGGUCUGGUUAGUAUUUGGGUGGGAGAAAAUAAAGCUGAAUGAUUAUAAAAA
Molecule: ribosomal RNA, 115 nt
Filed under: Propithecus coquereli (Coquerel's sifaka)
Lineage: Eukaryota; Metazoa; Chordata; Mammalia; Primates; Indriidae
Source: RNAcentral